Molecule: transfer RNA, 74 nt
Filed under: Ignavibacteria bacterium
Lineage: Bacteria; Pseudomonadati; Ignavibacteriota; Ignavibacteria
Also listed under: 1 other name
Description: tRNA-Pro
Rfam family: tRNA
About the family: Transfer RNA (tRNA) molecules are approximately 80 nucleotides in length.
Source: RNAcentral
CGGAGCGUGGCGCAGUCCGGAAGCGCACCUGAAUGGGGUUCAGGGGGUCGCGGGUUCAAAUCCCGCCGCUCCGA